Molecule: ribosomal RNA, 231 nt
Filed under: uncultured bacterium
Lineage: Bacteria
Description: partial 16S ribosomal RNA
Rfam family: Bacterial small subunit ribosomal RNA
Source: RNAcentral
CGGACGGGUGAGUAAUGUCUGGGAAACUGCCUGAUGGAGGGGGAUAACUACUGGAGACGGUAGCUAAUACCGCAUAACGUCGCAAGACCAAAGAGGGGACCUUCGGGCCUCUUGCCAUCGGAUGUGCCCAGAUGGGAUUAGCUAGUAGGUGGGGUAACGGUUCACCUAGGCGACGAUCCCUAGCUGGUCUGAGAGGAUGACCAGCCACACUGGAACUGAGACACGGUCCAG